RNAcentral lists this ribosomal RNA (275 nucleotides) under uncultured bacterium. RNAcentral describes it as "partial 16S ribosomal RNA". It matches the Rfam family "Bacterial small subunit ribosomal RNA", at positions 338 to 628 of the family's 1533-position model. The record is from RNAcentral.
CCUACGGGUGGCUGCAGUGGGGAAUUUUCCGCAAUGGGCGCAAGCCUGACGGAGCAAUACCGCGUGAGGGAAGACGGCUUUUGGGUUGUAAACCUCUUUUAUUGGGGAAGAAGAUCUGACGGUACCCAAUGAAUCAGCAUCGGCUAACUCCGUGCCAGCAGCCGCGGUAAUACGGAGGAUGCAAGCGUUAUCCGGAAUUAUUGGGCGUAAAGCGUCCGCAGGUGGUUGUGCAAGUCUGUUGUCAAAGCGUGGGGCUCAACUCCAUGUCGGCGAUG